AAAAAACGCCUCCAAAACCAAAUAAAUUAAAAAAUUCUUCAGAAGAUCAAUUUAAGGAACUCAUUUUAUACAAUCUUUUAGUAUUGAAACACAGCAUUAGAAACAUCAAUGAAAAAUUGACAUUGGUUGUCGAAAGGCAGAUUUCACACAAUUAUAAUGUUGAAGAAUCUAAUUAUCUUACAUUAGAAUAUUCUGAUUUGGACUGCUUAUUACCAAUUGAUGAAGAAGAUACAUUCGACAAUAUAGAAGAACAGAUAAGAAAUACCAUGCAUCAUUGACUAAACAGUUAGCUGGACUUGGCGGAAAAAGUAUCAAAGUCAUGGUCAAAAGAAUCAUGGGAUAUUUGUUCACUGACAACAUCUUAGCCUUAUAUUCUUUUAAUGGCAGAGCAAAUAAAAAAAAAAAUAUUUUGCAAAUCUAUCAAUUUCAAAAGUUAUAUUCAAUGCUGUUAAACCAAUUAAACGAUUGAAUAAUGAAUCAUCGACCGAUGAAAUUGAAAAAUACAUUAAGUAUUAUCUCAUUCAAGCACCAUUCAACAUAAAAAGAAAAAAGAAAUGUUUCAUUGAAUAUGAAUAUCAUUUAAUUUUGUAAUUAUUAUGUACAAUAUAAUAUAGCUAGGCUAGGUUUGCCUUUUAGUUAUAUCAUAUUUCAACUAUAUAAUAUAUACUAUUAUAUUAUAUUCUAAAUUAAUGUAUAUUUACAUUAUGUUUUUACUAUUAUUAUAUUGUUAUAGGGCCUAACAAUAUA
Molecule: long non-coding RNA, 747 nt
Organism: Metopolophium dirhodum (rose-grain aphid)
Lineage: Eukaryota; Metazoa; Arthropoda; Insecta; Hemiptera; Aphididae
Exons: 4
Source: RefSeq, a predicted model, not a curated record